UACGGGGGGGGCAAGCGUUGUUCGGAAUUACUGGGCGUAAAGGGCUCGUAGGCGGCCAACUAAGUCAGACGUGAAAUCCCUCGGCUUAACCGGGGAACUGCAUCCGAUACUGGAAGGCUCGAGUUUGGGAGAGGGAUGCGGAAUUCCAGGUGUAGCGGUGAAAUGCGUAGAUAUCUGGAGGAACACCGGUGGCGAAGGCGGCAUCCUGGACCAACACUGACGCUGAGGAGCGAAAGCCAGGGGAGCAAACGGG
Molecule: ribosomal RNA, 253 nt
Filed under: uncultured bacterium
Lineage: Bacteria
Description: partial 16S ribosomal RNA
Rfam family: Bacterial small subunit ribosomal RNA
Source: RNAcentral